Molecule: RNA transcript, 1469 nt
Organism: Zingiber officinale
Lineage: Eukaryota; Viridiplantae; Streptophyta; Magnoliopsida; Zingiberales; Zingiberaceae
Gene name: NAP1-related protein 2-like
Exons: 8
Source: RefSeq, a predicted model, not a curated record
CUCUUCUGCUUCCGAGUAAUCCGCUUUGUAGUUUACUAACCUCCUCCCCCCUCUCUCUCUCUGUCUCUCUCUCGACUCGGUGCACUGUUAGGGUAUUUGGUCUCGAGAGGUUCGGCGACUGGGGAGAUGGUGGCGGACAAGGGGAAGAGGUCGAAGGUGGAGGAGGAGGCCCCGUAUCACAUCGAUGGCGAGCUUGUGCUCUCCAUUGAAAAGCUUCAGGAGAUCCAAGACGAGAUCGAGAAGGUUAAUGAGGAAGCAAGCGACAAAGUUUUAGAGAUCGAACAAAAAUACAACGAGAUACGCAGGCCAAUCUACAGAAGGAGAAAUGAGAUUAUUCAAUCUAUUCCAGAUUUUUGGUUAACUGCAUUUCUUAGCCAUCCAGUAAUUUCUGAUCUUGUAACUGAGGAAGACCAAAAGAUCUUAAAGUACUUGGUGUCCUUAGAUGUGGAAGAUUUUAAAGAUGUGAAGUCUGGCUACUCUAUUACCUUUAAUUUCUCUCCAAACCCUUACUUCGAAGAUACAUGUUUGACAAAGACAUAUUCCUUUGAUGAGGGAACAACUAACAUAAAUGGCACUACAAUAAAGUGGAAGGAGGGAAUGAAUAUUGCAAACGGCGUUUCUCAUGAAAAGGAAGGGGGUAAGAGACCCUUAGUCGAAGAAAGGUUUGUAAUUUGUGUCUUCCUAUCUUGUAUUAAAGACCAUUCUGAAACAGCAAUGUGCGACAAUUAUAAGCCAAAUAAUUUAGAAUUCAAAUUUGUGACUGGUCCUGUUGUCCUAAUUUUAGCAAGCAUUAACCAAUAUUCUAUGGUAGUUGGCAGGUUUUUUGUUUUGUUGCUUUGCCUUUUGUCUAUUGCGAAUUACGAAAGUAUAGAAGUGCAUAGCUUGUAUAGAAACUUCUGAAGUCACAAAGAUGAUGGCACGUCUAGACAAAUUAGCAAUUACUUAUAGGAUCACUAUGUAACUUAAACAUGCCCUAAGGCAUAGCCGAGUUGGUUAUCACAUGACAAGUUUGCAAAAUUGAGCAAGGGUCGAAUCCCGGCAAAGACCGAGGAAUUACCCUCCCAUGUGAUGGCUAGCUUCGGUUUUCUGAUGUGUACUCCCUCCCAAUGGUGUGGGGCAGUCGUGGGGGGUUGUUUCACCUUUUGGCAGGUUUGCAGAAUUGCAGAACUAUGUAACUUAAACAUAUGAUAUAUGAGAUUAGUCAUUGUUCACUUGUUCUGUGAUCCUAUCAAUUUCUAGCUUGAUUUGUAAUUUCUAUAAGCUUUCUUCACUUGUGAUUGCUAUCGUCUUUUAUUUCCUGCUGCAGUUUCUUUUCCUGGUUCAAUGAGACUCAACCGAAAAAUCUUGCAGAAGGAUUCUCAGAUGAGGUGGCUGAGAUGUUAAAGGAAGAUUUAUGGCCGAAUCCAUUGAAGUACUUCAACAAUGAGAUCGACGAGGAGGAUUUUGAUGGAGAGGAGGAAGAUGAGCAG